RNAcentral lists this ribosomal RNA (253 nucleotides) under uncultured bacterium. RNAcentral's name for it is "partial 16S ribosomal RNA". It matches the Rfam family "Bacterial small subunit ribosomal RNA", at positions 524 to 776 of the family's 1533-position model. The record is from RNAcentral.
UACGAAGGGGGCUAGCGUUGUUCGGAAUUACUGGGCGUAAAGCGUGCGCAGGCGGCUUUGCAAGACAGAUGUGAAAUCCCCGGGCUCAACCUGGGAACUGCAUUUGUGACUGCAAGGCUAGAGUACGGCAGAGGGGGAUGGAAUUCCGCGUGUAGCAGUGAAAUGCGUAGAUAUGCGGAGGAACACCGAUGGCGAAGGCAAUCCCCUGGGCCUGCACUGACGCUCAUGCACGAAAGCGUGGGGAGCAAACAGG